RNAcentral lists this ribosomal RNA (917 nucleotides) under uncultured bacterium. RNAcentral's name for it is "bacterial SSU rRNA". It matches the Rfam family "Bacterial small subunit ribosomal RNA". The record is from RNAcentral.
AGAGUUUGAUCCUGGCUCAGGACGAACGCUGGCGGUGCGCCUAACACAUGCAAGUCGAACGGUGAACCGGGCUUCGGCCCGGGGAUCAGUGGCGAACGGGUGCGUAACACGUGGGCAACCUGCCCCCGACCCUGGGAUAACCCCGGGAAACCGGAGCUAAUACCGGAUACUCUCCUCCGACCACAUGGUCAGAAGAGGAAAGGUCCGCCGGUCGGGGAUGGGCCCGCGGCCUAUCAGCUUGUUGGUGGGGUAACGGCCUACCAAGGCGACGACGGGUAGCUGGUCUGAGAGGACGACCAGCCACACUGGGACUGAGACACGGCCCAGACUCCUACGGGAGGCAGCAGUGGGGAAUCUUGCGCAAUGGGCGAAAGCCUGACGCAGCGACACCGCGUGGGGGAUGAAGGCCUUUCAGGUCGUAAACCCCUUUCGGCAGGGACGAAGCGAUCUCGUGACGGUACCUGCAGAAGAAGCCUCGGCUAACUACGUGCCAGCAGCCGCGGUAACACGUAGGAGGCGAGCGUUGUCCGGAAUCAUUGGGCGUAAAGAGCGCGCAGGCGGCUUGGCAAGUCGGGUGUGAAAUCCCGGGGCUCAACCCCGUGACUGCAUCCGAUACUGUCAGGCUAGAGGUAGGUAGGGGAGAUCGGAAUUCCUGGUGUAGCGGUGAAAUGCGCAGAUAUCACGAGGAACACCGGUGGCGAAGGCGGAUCUCUGGGCCUUACCUGACGCUCAGGCGCGAAAGCUAGGGGAGCGAACAGGAUUAGAUACCCUGGUAGUCCUACCGUAAACCUUGGGUGCUUGGUGUGGGCGGAUAUCAACCCCGUCCGUGCCGAAGCUAACGCAUUAAGCACCCCGCCUGGGGAGUACGGCCGCAAGGCUAAACUCAAAGGAAUGACGGAAGGCGAAUCGUACCCGCC